Manacus vitellinus (golden-collared manakin) is the source of this 273-nucleotide long non-coding RNA. RefSeq lists it as uncharacterized. NCBI's taxonomy places the organism in Eukaryota, Metazoa, Chordata, Aves, Passeriformes, Pipridae. The record is from RefSeq and is a predicted model, not a curated record. The transcript is spliced from 3 exons.
CUCUCAACGUCACCCUGGUGCUGCAGUGCGAGCGCUGGCGCUUCGUGCGGGUGGGACUGGCCGUGCCACUGCUGGGCACCGUGGCCGACCUGCGGGAGAUGGUGGCACGGGAGGGCUGCAUUCCCCCGGAGCAGGUGAUCCUGGCCGAGGUGUCCCCGCGGGGCUUCCUGCGCUCGCUGGGGGACAAGGAGGAGCUGGGAGCUGCCGGGGAGGGGGCUCCUCUCUACGCCUUCCAGCCGCCCCCUGCCCGCCGCACAGGGUGCCCCCGCAGCC